AGUCAACGCUGGCGGCGUGCCUAACACAUGCAAGUCGAACGCGAAAGUCCCGCAAGGGAUUAGUAGAGUGGCAAACGGGUGAGUAACACGUGGGUGACCUGCCUUCGAGUGGGGGAUAACGUCCCGAAAGGGACGCUAAUACCGCAUGACAUCCUGUCUUUGAAAAGGUGGAGCUUAAAGCCGGGGAUCGCAAGACCUGGCGCUUGAAGAGGGGCCCGCGCCUGAUUAGCUAGUUGGNGAGGUAACGGCUCACCAAGGCAUCGAUCAGUAUCCGGCCUGAGAGGGCGGACGGACACACUGGGACUGAGACACGGCCCAGACUCCUACGGGAGGCAGCAGUGGGGAAUUGUUCGCAAUGGGCGCAAGCCUGACGACGCAACGCCGCGUGGAGGAUGAA
This 397-nucleotide ribosomal RNA is filed under the name uncultured bacterium. RNAcentral's name for it is "bacterial SSU rRNA". It matches the Rfam family "Bacterial small subunit ribosomal RNA", at positions 32 to 412 of the family's 1533-position model. The record is from RNAcentral.